UUGCCACCUGGUCAGCACUCGACAGACUGUUCCCAGUUGAAUGAAAUCACAAGAAAUCAGGCUUCAGAGGCCAGCCAGCUGAGGGUGACAGUGCAUCUGAGGAAAAAAGUGGGUCAGCUGAGCCAUUUUUAUCACCAGCCUCUUCUGUGGAAAGUACAUUACCAGUGCUUGAGGCAUCCAGUAAGAUGCAGGUGUCUCAUGACUUCUUGGAGACCAGGUUUAAAAUCCAGCAGCUUUUGAAGCCUCAGCAGUACAUGGCUUUUCUGCCCCACCACAUUAUGGUAAAAAUCUUCAGGUUACUUCCCACCAAGAGUUUAGUGGCCCUUAAAUGUACCUGCUGCUGUUUCAAGUUUAUCAUUGAGUACUACAAUAUCAGGCCAGCAGAUUCUCGCUGGGUUCGAGAUCCACGCUAUAGAGAGGAUCCUUGCAAGCAGUGCAAGAAAAAGUAUGUGAAAGGGGAUGUGUCCCUGUGCCAAUGGCAUAUCAAGCCCUAUUGCCAGGCAUUGCCCUAUGGGCCAGGGUAUUGGAUGUGCUGCCACCGGUCUCAGAAAGGAUUCCCUGGCUGUAAGCUGGGGCUUCAUGACAAUCACUGGGUUCCUGCCUGCCACAGCUUUAAUUGGGCAAUCCAUAAGAAAGCAAAAGGGACUGAAGCUGAAGAGGAAUACUAAAGUCCACGUGAGAGGCAACAAAAGGACCAAUUUUUAAAA
RNA transcript from Sapajus apella (tufted capuchin), 707 nucleotides. It is a transcript of the gene named F-box only protein 34-like, with no coding region annotated. The transcript has a single exon. The record is from RefSeq and is a predicted model, not a curated record. NCBI's taxonomy places the organism in Eukaryota, Metazoa, Chordata, Mammalia, Primates, Cebidae.